This 274-nucleotide ribosomal RNA is filed under the name uncultured bacterium. RNAcentral's name for it is "partial 16S ribosomal RNA". It matches the Rfam family "Archaeal small subunit ribosomal RNA", at positions 473 to 747 of the family's 1478-position model. The record is from RNAcentral.
AAACCAGCACCUCAAGUGGUCAGGAUGAUUAUUGGGCCUAAAGCAUCCGUAGCCGGCUCAGUAAGUUUUCGGUUAAAUCUGUACGCUCAACGUACAGGCUGCCGGGAAUACUGCAGAGCUAGGGAGUGGGAGAGGUAGACGGUACUCGGGAGGAAGUGGUAAAAUGCUUUGAUCUUUCGAUGACCACCUGUGGCGAAGGCGGUCUACCAGAACACGUCCGACGGUGAGGGAUGAAAGCUGGGGAAGCAAACCGGAUUAGAAACCCGGGUAGUCC